AUUGAACGCUGGCGGGAUGCUUUACACAUGCAAGUCGAACGGCAGCACGGGUGCUUGCACCUGGUGGCGAGUGGCGAACGGGUGAGUAAGACAUCGGAACGUACCCAGUCGUGGGGGAUAACGUAGCGAAAGUUACGCUAAUACCGCAUACGCACUGAGGGAGAAAGCGGGGGACCGUAAGGCUUCGGGCUAUUGGCGCGGCCGAGGGCGGAUUAGUUAGUUGGUGGGGUAGAGGCCUAACAAGGCAACGAUCCGUAGCGGGUCUGAGAGGACGGCCCGCCACACUGGAACUGAGACACGGUCCAGACUCCUACGGGAGGCAGCAGUGGGGAAUUUUGGACAAUGGGCGAAAGCCUGAUCCAGCCAUUCCGCGUGAGUGAAGAAGGCCUUCGGGUUGUAAAGCUCUUUCGGCAGGGAAGAAACGGCUUGGGAUAAUACCCCGGGCUAAUGACGGUACCUGAAGAAGAAGCACCGGCUAACUACGUGCCAGCCGCCGCCGUAA
Molecule: ribosomal RNA, 502 nt
Filed under: uncultured bacterium
Lineage: Bacteria
Description: partial 16S ribosomal RNA
Rfam family: Bacterial small subunit ribosomal RNA
Source: RNAcentral